UAGAGUUCGAUCCAUGGCUCAGGAUCAACGCUGGCGGCGUGCUUAACACAUGCAAGUCGAACGAUGAAGACCGUGCUUGCACGGUUGGAUUAGUGGCGAACGGGUGAGUAUCACGUGAGUAACCUUCCCUUAACUCUGGGAUAAGCCCGGGAAACUGGGUCUAAUACCGGAUACGACCAGUCCUCGCAUGGGGUGCUGGUGGAAAGAUUUAUCGGUUUUGGAUGGACUCGCGGCCUAUCAGCUUGUUGGUGAGGUAAUGGCUCACCAAGGCGAUGACGGGUAGCCGGCCUGAGAGGGUGACCGGCCACACUGGGACUGAGACACGGCCCAGACUCCUACGGGAGGCAGCAGUGGGGAAUAUUGCACAAUGGGCGAAAGCCUGAUGCAGCGACGCCGCGUGCGGGAUGACGGCCUUCGGGUUGUAAACCGCUUUCAGCAGGGAAGAAGCGAAAGUGACGGUACCUGCAGAAG
This 471-nucleotide ribosomal RNA is filed under the name Nesterenkonia sandarakina. RNAcentral describes it as "bacterial SSU rRNA". It matches the Rfam family "Bacterial small subunit ribosomal RNA", at positions 1 to 487 of the family's 1533-position model. Lineage: Bacteria; Bacillati; Actinomycetota; Actinomycetes; Micrococcales; Micrococcaceae. The record is from RNAcentral.